Molecule: non-coding RNA, 1528 nt
Organism: Heterocephalus glaber (naked mole-rat)
Lineage: Eukaryota; Metazoa; Chordata; Mammalia; Rodentia; Bathyergidae
Source: RefSeq, a predicted model, not a curated record
GGGAAGAAGGGCUGGGGUGAGUAGAGGACACAGCCCGGGGGCUGUGACCUGGAGUGGCCCAGUGCAUUGCCUGAGCAACUGGGGCUGUGCUCUGGAGAGGGAGGUGGGGCAGGUGACAGGAGAUCAGGGUGGAGGAGCCUCGCUAAUGCUCCUUGACCUUGUGCACAGUGACCAGAAUGGGUGAAUUCCAGGGACAGAAGUUUGGUUUAUCAUUAAGAAAUCUAUAAACAUCAUUACCAUAUGAACAGAUCAAAAGGAAACAUGAACUGGUGUGGUGGGGCACACCUGUAAGCCCAACAUUCGGGAGGCUGAGGCAGGAGGAUGGCUGCAGUUUCUCAGCCUGGGCUACAUAGUGAGUUCAAGACCAGCCUGAAUCGCAUGACAAGACCCUGUCUCAAAAAAUUAAAAUUUUUUUUAAAAAGGAAAAAUGAUAUGAUCACUGCAACAGAUGUAGUAAAAGUAUUUUAGGAAAUUCAGCUUCUGUUCAUGAUGUUCAGCUGGGGAACUUCCUGCAUCUGAUUAAAGUGAGUGUGGCUGUAUCUGACAGCAAGUAUCAUGCUCCCUUAAAAUCAAGACCAAGGCAGUUCUGACUGUCCUGUCAUUACUUCUAUUUCUGUGGCCUGGGAGGCCCCAGCCAGAGCAAUGUGGCAGGAGACGCAAUUGAUAAGGACUGAAUGGAAAAUUGAUAGAAAACCCAAACAAACCUUUCCCCGUGGUCAGGAUUUCCAAAGGUCAAGCUGUUGGUAUGGCUGGCUUGCUGCCCUACCCCAAAAUGCAGUGCACUGAAAAAGUACUCUGUGGGAGGCCCUGGCUUGGGGAGAAUAAAGCAGCUAGGAGGCUAGCCUGGGUGAGGAGUCGAGGGCACAGGGUGAGAAACUGGGACCUGGGGCCUCAGGCUACCCGGCAGGGAGACUGGGAGCCUGCACAUGCCUGGGCGGGGUCUCAGGCUGGAGGUGGGGUCCGGCUCUGCCCACUCUGCCCCUUCUCUGCUUUCUGGUCCUGCUGACCCUGUCAGCCAGGCGCACACUGUGUCUGUCUGCCCUUUCCUGUGAGAGGUGAUUCCCCUUUCUUUUUCCUUCAUCCAGGGCUGGGCACUCGGAGGUGUGAGGAAGUGCUCUCGCACACUUUCUUUCUCUGUGUCUUUAAAAUGGGCUCCCUGUGUUGCCCAGGCUGGCCUGGAAAUCAGUGGCCUGCAGCAAUACUCCUGCCUCAGCCUCCUGCGUAGCUGGGACUACAGUAUCUUUCUGAGGAUUUUUGCAUCUGUGUUCAUUAAAGAGAUUGGCCUGUCAUUCGUUCUCUCUUUUGGGCGGGUCCUUGUGAUCCGAAUCCAUCAUGAGAAGAAAAAUAUCUUUUGGAACCAAGCCCCGGCCAGUGGGAUUAUAAGACUUGAGGAGCCCAGAAAGUCACUAAACACCUGCUGCUCUUUCCUUCCUUGGACAACUGCUCCCCCCUCAGCCCAAGCCCAGAGUCAGCUAGAGCCCCUCUUGCCCCUUCCCUGCUGCCCCACUAAAGCUUUGCCUGUCUAGGA